UGGAAGUGAUGAAAUAGAGAUAAUUGGAUGUCUCUCUGAAUGGAGUGUGUGUGUGAGAUAAAUAGAAUUUAAAGUCAGAUGGGGGUGGGAGAUGGAGAAUGUGUGUGCAUGUGCAUGUGUAGAAAUGGCUUUAAAUGGGGGCACUGAUAAUGCAGUGCUGAUUCCGGAGUGCAUCUGAGGCAUGUUGUUAAGUUCUAGGGUGCCACUUUGCAACAUUGCCAAUGAUUAAAGCCCAAAACAAGCCCACCAGGACAAGCCUAGGCAUCCUAAAUCUCUAACAGGUUCACUAAUGAAAGUGAUCCUGUGAUCUGAUCCAA
Small nucleolar RNA from Cuculus canorus (common cuckoo), 317 nucleotides. It matches the Rfam family "Small Cajal body-specific RNA 7". The record is from Rfam. Lineage: Eukaryota; Metazoa; Chordata; Aves; Cuculiformes; Cuculidae.